UCCUCCCAGCCUGUGUGCUUCAAGACACGUC
This 31-nucleotide non-coding RNA is filed under the name Rattus norvegicus (Norway rat). Lineage: Eukaryota; Metazoa; Chordata; Mammalia; Rodentia; Muridae. The record is from RNAcentral.